Molecule: unclassified non-coding RNA, 749 nt
Filed under: Anneissia japonica
Lineage: Eukaryota; Metazoa; Echinodermata; Crinoidea; Comatulida; Comatulidae
Description: tripartite motif-containing protein 45-like, transcript variant X1
Source: RNAcentral
UGUUAUGAAAGACAAUUUUCACGAAAAAAUUCAGAUACACUACAAUGACAAACACAUCUGCAUAUUGAAGAACGUAAGAUUAAAUUCAAAAAUAAAAACUCCUGUAUAAGGCAGUAGACACAUGCUCCCUCUGGGAGCCUAUUUUUUUAACUGCAACCUGAAUAUAAGUUUGACUUGGAUUGAUAUCAGCUAGAACAAUGAAUACGCUACAGUAUCUUAACUUUACAGCAGUUCUAAGUCACUGCAUGACUGAUUUCAUCAUCUCAUGCUUGAUUGCACUCACAAAGAAACCAGCCUAUAAGGUCACAUGACUAACCUGGAAAAACCCAUUUCUAUUUUCGCAGACACUUCAUGCACACCCAAAACUUAACAGAGAAUUUUAAGGAUUUCAAUUUAAGAUGGCUACCAGUAAGUUGGAUCAAUUUCUGGAAAAUGUUGAUGAGAAGGUCUUGGAGUGUACCAUCUGCUUUAAGAGACUUCAAAAUCCAAAAUCUCUCAACUGCCUCCAUAGUUUCUGUUUGGCAUGCCUGGAAGAUUGGGUUAAGACUAAGGGUAAGCUGACUUGCCCAACUUGCUCAAAAUUAUAUACAAUUCCGGAGGGUGGGCUUCAGAAGCUUCCACCAAAUACCUUUCUAAAUAAUUUAUUAGAAACUAUCGAACAAUUUUCAGAGAGAGAUCAGAUGAAAUGUAGUGUUUGUGAAAAGGAUGAACAGGUAAAAUACUACUGCCAGGAUUGCAGACAGUACUUG